RNAcentral lists this ribosomal RNA (217 nucleotides) under uncultured Porphyrobacter sp. Its description in RNAcentral is "partial 16S ribosomal RNA". It matches the Rfam family "Bacterial small subunit ribosomal RNA", at positions 1166 to 1382 of the family's 1533-position model. Lineage: Bacteria; Pseudomonadati; Pseudomonadota; Alphaproteobacteria; Sphingomonadales; Erythrobacteraceae. The record is from RNAcentral.
AGGGAAGGUGGGGAGUGACGUCAAGUCCUCAUGGCCCUUACAGGCUGGGCUACGACACGUGCUACAAUGGCAUCUACAGUGGGCAGCAUUCCGCAAGGAUGCGCUAAUCUCCAAAAGAUGUCUCAGUUCGGAUUGUCCUCUGCAACUCGAGGGCAUGAAGGCGGAAUCGCUAGUAAUCGCGGAUCAGCAUGCCGCGGUGAAUACGUUCCCAGGCCUU